AUUGAACGCUGGCGGCAGGCCUAACACAUGCAAGUCGAGCGGCAGCGGAAAGUAGCUUGCUACUUUGCCGGCGAGCGGCGGACGGGUGAGUAAUGUCUGGGAAACUGCCUGAUGGAGGGGGAUAACUACUGGAAACGGUGGCUAAUACCGCAUAACGUCGCAAGACCAAAGAGGGGGACCUUCGGGCCUCUUGCCAUCAGAUGUGCCCAGAUGGGAUUAGCUAGUAGGUGGGGUAAUGGCUCACCUAGGCGACGAUCCCUAGCUGGUCUGAGAGGAGGACCAGCCACACUGGAACAGAGACACGGUCCAGACUCCUACGGGAGGCAGCAGUGGGGAAUAUUGCACAAUGGGUGCAAGCCUGAUGCAGCCAUGCCGCGUGUAUGAAGAAGGCCUUCGGGUUGUAAAGUACUUUCAGCGGGGAGGAAGGUGUUGAGGUUAAUAACCUCAGCAAUUGACGUUACCCGCAGAAGAAGCACCGGCUAACUCCGUGCCAGCAGCCGCCGUAA
This 506-nucleotide ribosomal RNA is filed under the name uncultured bacterium. Its description in RNAcentral is "partial 16S ribosomal RNA". It matches the Rfam family "Bacterial small subunit ribosomal RNA", at positions 30 to 523 of the family's 1533-position model. The record is from RNAcentral.